Molecule: long non-coding RNA, 848 nt
Organism: Mustela erminea (ermine)
Lineage: Eukaryota; Metazoa; Chordata; Mammalia; Carnivora; Mustelidae
Exons: 3
Source: RefSeq, a predicted model, not a curated record
UUUGGCUAAUGAAGGUAGGAAAAAUUAAAACGACAAGAUAAAUACUCAGUGGUAGCAAAAGUGUGGAGGAAAUGGACAUCUCCAAGCACUGCAGGUAGGAGCACAACUGAAUAAACACUGUUUGGAAGAAGCAGAGGAGAGCAGGAAGAGAUUGUCAGAAGGCUUGUGGAGAAGAUGAUGAUGCCAAAACUGUCACAGAACCUGAGGACAGGAGGCAGGCCGUUGAAGAAUUUUCUGGAUCAAAGGGCAGACCUAAUAGUCGCUGGCUUGUCCCGAAGCUAGAAUACCAAGGGUGAGGAAGGCAAGAGACACCCCGGGAUCAUGACCUGAGCUGAAGGCAGACGCUUAACGAGGGAGCCCCCCAGGCAACCCCAGGUCUAUAGUUUAAAAACGAUUUUUGUUUUAAAGAACAGGGGUACUAGGCAGUGUUUUCAUUCAGUGUGAGUUCAUCUGUCCCUAAAGAAUUCAAAGGGAAUUUGAUUAUGGAAAGAUGGCUGAGAAACUAGCUCUGUUGAUAUUUUGUUUCUUUUGAGGUGAUCUGCUCCUUAAAAGGGAAGAUGGGGUGAUGGUGAUUCAGGAUGUUAAUAUAAAGAUGGAAGAUAGAAGGAAGAAAGUCAAUUGCCCUUUCAGAACUCACGUAGUCCGCUGAAAAGUCAUCUACCCAGCAUGGUUCCUCUAAAAUGUAGGUGUAUGGGUUUAAGUAAUUUUUCCUUACCCAAUUAUCUCUGUCACAUCGCUGUUCCUUUAAUCCCUCCCAUCUAAUUGGUGAUCAAAGCCUGAAUUCCAUCUGCUAAAUGAAGCUCUUAAUCUGCGCCUUCCCCUCCAAUCCAGCUGCCCUGCAGCUACUU